Molecule: long non-coding RNA, 1553 nt
Organism: Oncorhynchus tshawytscha (Chinook salmon)
Lineage: Eukaryota; Metazoa; Chordata; Actinopteri; Salmoniformes; Salmonidae
Source: Ensembl
GGGAUUUCAGCGAGACUUUAGAGUCUGAAAUCCAAACCGAAGAUCAGAUGAAAGGAUGAGGUCUCUUUUUCCACCCAGGUCUCUCUGUAUGUCUAUCUAAUUAUCAACAGCAGGUCAGUGGAAGAAGAGGGGAGUAUAGGAGGUGCUCACCUGUAGGCCUAUAUAUUGAGGAGAUGUGAGCCGCAAUGUACAGUUCAAGCGGGACUUUUCAGGGACAGAGCGCCAUUUCGACCAGAGCGCCAUUUCAGGGAAUAUGGUUAUGGAGGAAGAAACAGCCACACUCGAUGGACGGCACAGGUUGUAUAAAAUAAAAUGUGUCUCUGAGCUGAAAUGGAUUGGUUAAAAAGGAAAGCACUAAGCUUUUGCUUGGCUUAAUGAAAGGUUUUGUGUUGAUUUGACUCGUUGAUUAUAAGAAAUAACCUUUUAGACUAACUAGACUAGGCCUAUUUUAAAACUGGAAAAGGCAAAAGCGUGCUUCAUGGCACGGGUUACGCUAGAGAUAUCUCCUCAUCCUCGAUCUAGAACUGUUGAUGGAUUCACUAUAUCCGCCAUCCGGGGAACAUCCUUCCAUCCUGGGGCAGUGUAUUGGCGCACGAACUGCACGCGCACUCAACAAUAUGCAAUAUGUCAAACCAUCAAAAACUUGAGAAAUGUAUGCGAAAGCUUUAAAGCCUAAUGCGAUAGUUUUUGUAGUAGGCUAGAAAUAACUUUAAUGUUCGUAUCAGUAUAGCCAAUAGGCUUAAAAAAUAUAAUACAAUCUAAAAUGAUUAGUGUUGUCACCAUCAGCAAUCUUAAUAUGUUCGCCAAAUCCGUGAAGUGGCACAUGGCACGGGACUGCUGUACAUCUCCACGCACGAAAGAGGUCUGUGACACUGACGAACUGCGCAAGACGUUGAAUAGCAGCAGGAGGAGAGGGAGGAUGGCAACAUGGAGUAAUCCCUCUCCACUGGGCUAAAAUAUGCUUACCAACGAGUUACCUUUCCACCUGAAAAUCUCCGGCCAGGCAGCCCAAACAGACGGGGCGCCGGGAGAGAUGGAGCGAUAGAGGGACCGGCGGUGGAGAGAAGAGAGCAUGAGGUGUUUGUCUGUUUUUCAGGUCAGGGUGAGGAUGCCGUCACUGAGGUGAUGUGGCCUUCGUUCAGCACUAUUGAUUUUUCCCGGAAGCUGGAAGACGAGCUCUGCUCUGGGACCCAUUUGGAGCGUCUCAAAAAUCACUUAGCGCAUCAUUCCACACAGCCGGGAUCAAUUCUGGAGCUGGGCAGUGGGUCGGCACCGCACGGGGCUGAUUGUCUGCGUCUCUCUAGGUGUCCCAGGGAUGGAUAUUUGUUCUAACCCGGCAGAAGGGACACAAGAGGAUAGCAGAUGGUCCAAGCGGAUUAAAACCCGCCGGUGCGCGGUGCAGUGCAUGAGGAGGGAGAGAGAAAAUUGUUGCAAGAGGACAUGGAUAUAAGAAACUCAAACAUGAGGCAGCGCCUUAAACAGACCAACAUUUUGUCACCAAUUGCUCCACAGUGUCUCAUUACUUAACGCAUUCAUACUGUGGCAUAUUGUGG